This 1131-nucleotide long non-coding RNA is filed under the name Parus major (Great Tit). RNAcentral's name for it is "lncRNA (ENSPMJG00000009310.1)". Lineage: Eukaryota; Metazoa; Chordata; Aves; Passeriformes; Paridae. The record is from RNAcentral.
CGUCUCUCCGGGUGGGAAGGUUCCCAGUGGGCUCCUCCAUCCUGGUGCUGCUCAAACACACUGUGCGUUUUCCUGCUGCCUCCUGUGAGGGGGACGAGAUCUCAGUCACCGCAAACCACGGCCACGGGCCUGCUCUCACGGUGCAGAGCACCGCACCAAAGCCCACGCAGUCCCUCGGGACAGGGAUCCACAGGCCCCCGCGCCAGGGAACAGGGAAGAGGAUCAGGGAAAGAUCAUCGGCCGCUGGACACUCGCCCCGCUGAGGGGAAGGCCGCGGCGCAGCCCCAGCUGUACUGCCUGUCGGCGUCGGCCCCAGCGCACUUCGCGGCCCGGGACGCUGCUGGAUGCGAACCGCUCGCACCACACGCGGCCCUCGCUGGCCCUGCACCCCGGGCACCGCCACCCGCCCGGGCACACAGCGAGAACCGCCGGGGAGGGGAGGGGGAGAAAAUUGAAUGGAGAGCCCCCGUACCCCGACACCGCACAGCCCCACCACUUGCCGCAGCAGCCCCCGCCUUGCCCGCUCUUCCCACCUCUGCCCCGCCGCCCGCGGCGCGCCGGGACACCGAGUCCCUGCCGGGCUCCACGGAGCGGCCACGGCGGCGGCAGGACCACAACUCCCGGCGGGGAGAGCGGCGCGGAAAGGGCCGGAGCCUCCCGCCCCCUCUCCGCUCCGCCUCUCUGGGGGCUCCUGGGAGCUGUAGGCGGCCGCCUUCCCUCGGCGGGGGACAUUUUGCGAGCUGGGGAGCGGGGCUGAGCGGCGGGACUACAGCUCCCAGGGCGUACCGCGGCGCCGACAUUUCGCGGCCUGUGCGGGGCCGUGCCCAUUGCCAGGCCGGGUGCGGGGCUCGGCGCGCGGGGCUCGGUGCCGGGCCGCGCACCCCGGAGAGCCGCGGUGCCGCCCCGGAGCUGUCCGGCACCGUGAGGGGCAGGCACGGCACCGCCGCCGCCCUCCGCAGUCGCAGUCUGAAAAAACCCCAUGUCACGGGUUUUGUUCUCAUCGAAAAGCAGGGAUUGGCCACCGCGAACACAUCCGAAGUUUUUUUUUGUUUGUUUUGGUUUGUUUUUUUUCCCUCUUACGUGUUUAUUUUAAAACUAGCAAACCCAAACCCCAAGUCACUUGAGGACUAA